AGUGAACGCUGGCGGUAGGCCUAACACAUGCAAGUCGAACGGCAGCACAGUAAGAGCUUGCUCUUACGGGUGGCGAGUGGCGGACGGGUGAGGAAUACAUCGGAAUCUACUUUUUCGUGGGGGAUAACGUAGGGAAACUUACGCUAAUACCGCAUACGACCUACGGGUGAAAGCAGGGGAUCUUCGGACCUUGCGCGAUUGAAUGAGCCGAUGUCGGAUUAGCUAGUUGGCGGGGUAAAGGCCCACCAAGGCGACGAUCCGUAGCUGGUCUGAGAGGAUGAUCAGCCACACUGGAACUGAGACACGGUCUAGACUCCUACGGGAGGCAGCAGUGGGGAAUAUUGGACAAUGGGCGCAAGCCUGAUCCAGCCAUACCGCGUGGGUGAAGAAGGCCUUCGGGUUGUAAAGCCCUUUUGUUGGGAAAGAAAAGCAGCAGGUUAAUACCCCGCUGUUCUGACGGUACCCAAAGAAUAAGCACCGGCUAACCUCGUG
This 492-nucleotide ribosomal RNA is filed under the name uncultured bacterium. RNAcentral describes it as "partial 16S ribosomal RNA". It matches the Rfam family "Bacterial small subunit ribosomal RNA", at positions 29 to 507 of the family's 1533-position model. The record is from RNAcentral.